GAGGAUAUAGCUCAGGGAUAGAGUGAGUGCCUAGCACACACGAGGUCCUGGGUUCAAUCCCCAGUACCUCU
This 71-nucleotide transfer RNA is filed under the name Camelus bactrianus (Bactrian camel). It matches the Rfam family "tRNA". From Rfam's summary of the family: Transfer RNA (tRNA) molecules are approximately 80 nucleotides in length. Their secondary structure includes four short double-helical elements and three loops (D, anti-codon, and T loops). The record is from Rfam by way of RNAcentral. RNAcentral also lists the same sequence under 2 other names. Lineage: Eukaryota; Metazoa; Chordata; Mammalia; Artiodactyla; Camelidae.